Fundulus heteroclitus (mummichog) is the source of this 766-nucleotide long non-coding RNA. RefSeq lists it as uncharacterized. Lineage: Eukaryota; Metazoa; Chordata; Actinopteri; Cyprinodontiformes; Fundulidae. The transcript is spliced from 2 exons. The record is from RefSeq and is a predicted model, not a curated record.
CUCUCCGUCUGUCUGACAGGAUCGUUUUCUAAACUCGGCCACUUCCUGGAUUUAUUGUCGCAGUUUUUUUUUUUUUUUUUUUUUGUAAUAAGUAUUCAGUGGUUUGUGUCAACAAUGUCUCCAUUUAACACAUGGCGUCUUUACCUCCUUGACUAACGGAGCCUGUUUUGGUGAAACUUUUUCUCCUACAAUGAGGAAAUCAGGAGGACAUCGGGGAGUUUCGCCCUUCUUCUCCUCUCCUUUGAGAUUUUUAGUUCACCAAGAAAACCUUUGUUCUCACCGACUGUUCUGGGAUUAUAAAUUACAUUUUGGCUAAUUUAUGUGGCGAUCUGAGGGAGACACCUGCUGUGAAGCCUGAACUUGUAACAUCUGGCUCUUUUUUCUUUUUAAUGGCGACGGACCAUCUCUCUUCCUCAAGCCGGGUGGAUCUAGGAGGUGUGCUCACUUAUGGCGGUGUGGGACCCGCUCCAGCCCCGAAUCCAGCCACAUGAUUCGGGACUGGAGCCUAAAACUGGUCGGGCUUUAAAGCUGCUGUCUCCGCUCCAAAGCUGCGCUUCUCCUGUGGCUUCUGGAGCUUUUUGGACCCUCAGAUCAGACCCAGAGGAUUCACGCUUUUCUCUUCCGAGGCCGGAGAACCCAGCCGCCUCCGUGGAGAUCAAGCCGAGGAACCCUGAAGAUGAAGCUCCACACUCCUGCUGCACAGCGCUCCAUGUUUGAAGGGAAAUAUUUUUAUUCAAACCAAAUAAAAGAUGUUUUUUAAUCUCUA